AGGCAGCAGGCGCGCAAAUUACCCACUGCACACCUUGCUAGGUAGUGACGAGAAAUAACGGUGUCGGGCUCCUAGCGGAGUGGCGACGACCGAAAUGAGUGCAAAACAAACAAAUGUCUUUCUGCUUCGGCAGAAGACGAGUAUCGAUCGAAGGGCAAGUCUGGUGCCAGCAGCCGCGGUAAUUCCAGCUUCGAAAGUGUACGUUAAUGCUGUUGUGUUUAAAAAGCUCGUAGUCGAAGCAAUGCGAGCUUGACGGCGAUCGCCCGGCUCGAGUAGUCGCGCUCUGCCCGUCGUCCUUCGGGGCGGCGGCGACGAGGGCGGCGAAAGCGUCGGGCACGUCGAGAAACGAGACCGAAACAUGGGCGGUCGACGUUCGCCCUCACGGGCCACGAUCGAGCCGGUCCCCAAAAUCGCCCUGUACCAAUGUGUGCUCAUCAGGGCAGUUCGAAAGACGAAAACGUGUGACGAUCGCGAAGCCUGCUUCGCGGAACGAUUGAACAAGGCCGCGGCUCGGCCGCCGGCGCUCCGAGAGUCGCGCGACAAUGGUCGAGAGAGACGAACGGGGGCAUUUGUACUGUGCCGGGAGAGGUGAAAUUCGUGGAUCGGCGCAAGACAAACCGAAGCGAAGGCGUCUGCCAAGGACGUUUUCCUUAAUCAAGAGCGAGAGUCGGAGGAUCGAAGACGAUCAGAUACCGUUGUAGUUCCGACUAUAAACGAUGUCGACCGCAAGGUCGCUAUGUUGAAAGACGAGUGCGUCGACGACGGUCUCUGACCGAUCGAUCGGCGGAACGAGUGAGCAAGUGGUGGCCGUGCCCCCCAAGGGAAACCGGAGUUUUCGGGUUCCGGGGGUAGUAUGGUCGCAAGGCUGAAACUUGAAGGAAUUGACGGAAGGGCACCACCAGGAGUGGAGCCUGCGGCUUAAUUUGACUCAACGCGGGAAAACUCACCCGGACCGUACGUGACAAGGAUUGACAGAUUGAAGAGCUCUUUCUCGAUCUUGCGAAUGGUGGUGCAUGGCCGUUCCUAGUUCGUGGAACGAUUUGUCUGGUUAAUUCCGAUAACGAACGAGAUUCGAGUACGACACGUUCGAAAGGCCGAUAUAGCGGUCGCGCUUCCUUUCGGGGGGCGCGUUCGCCGAGACCAUCGCGCCUACAAUUCGAACCUGAAAGACCGGCGGCAAAAAGCAGCCGCACGAGAUCGAGCGAUAACAGGUCUGUGAUGCCCUUCGAUGUUC
This 1234-nucleotide ribosomal RNA is filed under the name Lissoclinum badium. RNAcentral's name for it is "partial 18S ribosomal RNA". It matches the Rfam family "Eukaryotic small subunit ribosomal RNA", at positions 423 to 1482 of the family's 1831-position model. Lineage: Eukaryota; Metazoa; Chordata; Ascidiacea; Aplousobranchia; Didemnidae. The record is from RNAcentral.